RNAcentral lists this ribosomal RNA (253 nucleotides) under uncultured bacterium. Its description in RNAcentral is "partial 16S ribosomal RNA". It matches the Rfam family "Bacterial small subunit ribosomal RNA", at positions 524 to 776 of the family's 1533-position model. The record is from RNAcentral.
UACGUAGGUGGCAAGCGUUGUCCGGAAUUAUUGGGCGUAAAGCGCGCGCAGGCGGUCCUUUAAGUCUGAUGUGAAAGCCCACGGCUCAACCGUGGAGGGUCAUUGGAAACUGGGGGACUUGAGUGCAGAAGAGGAGAGUGGAAUUCCACGUGUAGCGGUGAAAUGCGUAGAGAUGUGGAGGAGCACCAGUGGCGAAGGCGACUCUCUGGUCUGUAACUGACGCUGAGGCGCGAAAGCGUGGGGAGCAAACAGG